UCUACACUAUUGCAGAGCUUUUCCAAAAUUUAUUUCCAAGCCACAGACUCACUGAUGUUCAUGUCUGAGCCGGAACGAGAAAUUACCUCAAACUUGGGUAAUUAAACCAACGAUCAUUGC
Molecule: unclassified non-coding RNA, 120 nt
Filed under: Enterobius vermicularis (human pinworm)
Lineage: Eukaryota; Metazoa; Nematoda; Chromadorea; Rhabditida; Oxyuridae
Description: SL1 RNA
Source: RNAcentral